This 424-nucleotide ribosomal RNA is filed under the name uncultured Prevotella sp. Its description in RNAcentral is "bacterial SSU rRNA". It matches the Rfam family "Bacterial small subunit ribosomal RNA", at positions 355 to 776 of the family's 1533-position model. The record is from RNAcentral. Lineage: Bacteria; Pseudomonadati; Bacteroidota; Bacteroidia; Bacteroidales; Prevotellaceae.
UGAGGAAUAUUGGUCAAUGGGCGAGAGCCUGAACCAGCCAAGUAGCGUGCAGGAAGACGGCCCUAUGGGUUGUAAACUGCUUUUAUAAGGGAAUAAAGUGAGUCUCGUGAGACUUUUUGCAUGUACCUUAUGAAUAAGGACCGGCUAAUUCCGUGCCAGCAGCCGCGGUAAUACGGAAGGUCCGGGCGUUAUCCGGAUUUAUUGGGUUUAAAGGGAGCGUAGGCCGGAGAUUAAGCGUGUUGUGAAAUGUAGACGCUCAACGUCUGCACUGCAGCGCGAACUGGUUUCCUUGAGUACGCGCAAAGUGGGCGGAAUUCGUGGUGUAGCGGUGAAAUGCUUAGAUAUCACGAAGAACUCCGAUUGCGAAGGCAGCUCACUGGAGCGCAACUGACGCUGAAGCUCGAAAGUGCGGGUAUCGAACAGG